This 740-nucleotide ribosomal RNA is filed under the name uncultured bacterium. RNAcentral's name for it is "bacterial SSU rRNA". It matches the Rfam family "Bacterial small subunit ribosomal RNA", at positions 8 to 796 of the family's 1533-position model. The record is from RNAcentral.
AGAGUUUGAUCAUGGCUCAGAACGAACGCUGGCGGCAGGCUUAACACAUGCAAGUCGAGCGCCCAGCAAUGGGAGCGGCGCACGGGUGAGUAACACGUGGGAACGUGCCCUUUGGUUCGGAAUAACGUAGGGAAACUUGCGCUAAUACCGGAUAAGCCCUAACGGGGAAAGAUUUAUCGCCAAUGGAGCGGCCCGCGUCCGAUUAGCUAGUUGGUGGGGUAAAAGCCUACCAAGGCAACGAUCGGUAGCUGGUCUGAGAGGACGACCAGCCACACUGGGACUGAGACACGGCCCAGACUCCUACGGGAGGCAGCAGUGGGGAAUCUUGGACAAUGGGGGAAACCCUGAUCCAGCCAUGCCGCGUGAGUGAUGAAGGCCCUAGGGUUGUAAAACUCUUUCGGCGGGGACGAUAAUGACGGUACCCGCAGAAGAAGCUCCGGCUAACUUCGUGCCAGCAGCCGCGGUAAUACGAAGGGGGCUAGCGUUGUUCGGAAUUACUGGGCGUAAAGCGCGCGCAGGCGGUCCUUUAAGUCAGGGGUGAAAGCCCAGAGCUCAACUCUGGAACUGCCUUUGAAACUAGAGGACUUGGGUACGGGAGAGGUGAGUGGAAUUCCGAGUGUAGAGGUGAAAUUCGUAGAUAUUCGGAAGAACACCAGUGGCGAAGGCGGCUCACUGGCCCGUUACCGACGCUCAGGCGCGACAGCGUGGGGAGCAAACAGGAUUAGAUACCCUCGUAGUCC